AUUUGCCAUCCACCACAUUGGUGUCUGUGAGCUGAUGGACCGAGCGGCCUGGGGUUGGUCGCCGUGCCGUUCCUGAACCAGGUCGCCACUGCCUCCCGAAGGCAACAAGUGGUGCCGAAACCCGGGAAAGCUCCUGGAUUCGGGUGAACAGCGGCCGGAGCGGCGGGACCAGCCCGGUGGGGAGGAUGCUCCCGGACCAACAAGGAAGAUGGAAACCCUUGUGAAGGUCGUAUCAAAGUUGUGGAAGCUAUGGGGUGGCUCGGCUGAGGAAGCCAAGGGUGCCGGUGGGGAACCAGAGCCUGAGGAAAUCUGGGAGAGACCACGGCCAUGUGCGCCCCAGUACGGUGCUGCACUAGAAGACGAAGGGUGGGACAAAGAAGCCUCCGGCAGGAAUGGGGAUGAAGUGUUAGGUUUUACUAACACAUGGAAAUGUGAGAAAGAGAACGGUUGCGGGGACGACCGGGGAGGAGUUAGAAGCGUGAGAGAGGGGCAGAGAGACGAUCGGAACGGCCAUCUGAGAAAACGCUCCAGUGGCGCAAACGCCUCACUGAGAAGGCGGCGGGGCGAGCCACGAGGCAGAGAGUGGCCUGCCCGUAGGGGUGGGGGGCGGGGCUGGAACUCGAUGGGAGGGUACUGGAACUCGGAGGUGAACAGUCAGUCGAGCUCCGACUCCGGAUCAGAUACCGAUUCAAAUUCGGAGGAGGAAAUGGGGACAGAUAACAAAAACAUCCCCAUCCGAAAUAAAGCUGCACCGCGAGGGGGAGAAAUUCCUCUCACGGAUUGGAGAAAAAUUAAGAUUGCGUGCGCCGACUGGGCCCCAUCAGCCACGUUAGCUUUCCCAGUCCGGGUGACAGACGGGGGCCAGAGGGUUUAUUCACCAAUAAACCCUAAAGACAUACAGACAAUUGUUAAAGCCAUUGCGGACAAAGGGCUUAAUUCUGCAAUGGUCUCCACCCUUAUAGAUGGUGUUUUCAGGGGAGACGACAUGCUCCCAUUCGAUAUAAAACAAACUUGUCGACUGAUCUUUGACGGGGCAGGGAUGAUGGUUUUUAAACAAGAAUGGGAGGAUAACUGUAUGAAACAAUUGGCCCAAGUAACUAGGGCGGAUCACCCGCUUUAUGGCUCUAGCCUGCAGCGGCUAAUGGGUACGGACCCAACAAUGAUCACCCCCCAGGCACAAGCCCAGGGCCUGCGGGCUCAUGAAGUUAUGUCAACUACUCAUGCAGCCAGAGAAGCUAUUCGUACAGCCUCUAGAGUUAUUGCCAAACCAUCCCCGUGGUCAACAAUAAAACAAAGUGAAAGCGAGAGCUUUGCACAGUUUGUAGACCGUCUCCAGGCAGCAGUCGACUCUUCGUCACUGCCUGUGGAGGCAAAAGGCCCAGUCGUAGCAGAAUGCCUACGCCAGCAGUGUAAUUCAGCAACCAGAGAAAUCUUGCGAUCACUGCCAGUGGGGUCUAGCAUUGCAGACAUGAUUAAACAUGUCAUGAGAGAGGAGCACCUAGCCCCGAUCCAAGUAGCUGUUCACACUGCAAUAACUAACAUGAUGGCAUGUUUUAAAUGUGGCCAGGCAGGCCACAUAAUUGCAAAUUGCCCUCAGUUGGGGGGUCCAUCAACAGCACUCCUCCCAUACCAAAACCAACCCAGAGGACCGUGUUGGGUUUGUGGAAGGAAAGGGCACUU
This 1680-nucleotide long non-coding RNA is filed under the name Anas platyrhynchos platyrhynchos (common mallard). RNAcentral's name for it is "lncRNA (ENSAPLG00000024526.1)". Lineage: Eukaryota; Metazoa; Chordata; Aves; Anseriformes; Anatidae. The record is from RNAcentral.